Carica papaya (papaya) is the source of this 848-nucleotide non-coding RNA. The record is from RefSeq and is a predicted model, not a curated record. NCBI's taxonomy places the organism in Eukaryota, Viridiplantae, Streptophyta, Magnoliopsida, Brassicales, Caricaceae.
CACACAGAGGCAAGUAAACUACAUUCAACUGUUGCAGGACUUGUAGGAAGAAUUUUCACUUGUGAGCAUUCGGCAAAAAAUUCCUAGACUAUACUAGAAAGUUAAGGGAAGCUAAAUUUCUGAUGUGUGAUUUGCUACGUCACCUUCAGACCAAAUUGCAAUCAGUGUUUUGGCAAACUUUAGGGUCUAUUUUAGUCAUCAUUGUCAAGUGCAAAUGUCUCAUUACUUGGAGAAAUUUGCUUUAUACAUAUUUCCAAUUUCUUGACGUUUCCGUUAUUCUUCUGUCAUCAAUCCUCUUGUGUUCAGGUAAAGAGCUACUGGUUGAAUUCUGAUGGUGCUGAUGUGGUUUUCCACAUGAUUGAUAACUUCCUUCUCUAGUUUCGACAAGUUAAUUGUCCUCCAACCAGCAACUAGGCGAUGGAAAAACUUUCAAGUCCUCAAUAGAAUUAUUCUAGCAAUAGAAUAUUCUACUCAUUGUUUCUAGCAUAUUUCAUGUACUUGCAAUUGAAUUUGAAUGCAUUGCUUCCCGGUUAUCUCUGGAGAUAUAAGUAACAGAAAGAAGUCACUGGUGAUGAAGAAUUUUUGGAUCCCAAAUCCUAUAAUACCAAUUCAAAUCAGAUUCCUUACAGAUAUGAUUAGUUAUUGUUAACUAAAAUAUUUUGUUGUUUAAUUAGUUAAAAUAUAUUUUUCUUCUAUAGUUCUUCCCGUAAUUUUUCUCGUAAUGCUGUAAUUAAUUAGAAUUCUUACUAUAAGGGUGAUUUCCUCAUUUGUAUAUAGAAAUUCUGUAUAUAUACUCCGUCUGUAAUAACAUCAGAGACUUAAGAAAAUAAAGUAGAUAUUUUUUCCAA